This is a long non-coding RNA of Mauremys reevesii (Reeves's turtle), 659 nucleotides long. RefSeq lists it as uncharacterized. NCBI's taxonomy places the organism in Eukaryota, Metazoa, Chordata, Testudines, Geoemydidae. The transcript has 2 exons. The record is from RefSeq and is a predicted model, not a curated record.
UUCCCCCCACACACACACUACAGCUCUUGCAUCCGCUACUGACCUGAUAUCCGCAUCCCUCUCGUGUUCUCCCCACCCUCCUGUUUCCCUUGUAGCAAAGUGCUGUUGUGUCAAGUUUGUUACCGGGGGGCGGGAAGCUACCUCGCAUACCGAUCUGUGUGACCCAGUGUACGCGGGGUUGUUAACAUGCAAACGUGGACCCUUGUUUACUUCUCGCCACUGGUGUUUGUUACUCCCUUUGGAGAGUGAAAGUGCGCUGCUGCUGGCACCGCAAAUUCAAGUUGAGAGUUGAAAAAUCCAGCAGUGUUCUCUCUGCCUCCUACUGUCACCAUAAAUAAUAAAGAUUUUAGGAUCAGACAUUUGCUGGCAACUUUGUUGUAAGAGACUCCAGCUCUCUCUGCUGUGUCUAUGUUGGCUCUUCAAGAAUAACAGCAGAAACUUUUCUGCAUCCAUAAAGUCAGCAGAUCUGCCUUGAAGACAAACAGGGCAUGGAUACAUUGAAUAAAAAGUUCCAGUUGAACAGAAUCAUCUUCCUGAUUAUACUGCCCUGCUGUUUAAAGAAAGGAAUAUGUACUUUAUAGUCCAGAUAGCCUAAUCAGUGUAUUUUUAGUCCUGACUCAUGCAUCAUGUUAUUGUGGUAAAUUAUACCCAUUGCUGCA